UGCCAUUAAUACUGCCGUUCUUGAGUAUAGUUGAAGUGGGCGGAAUGUAUCAUGUAGCGGUGAAAUGCUUAGAUAUGAUACAGAACACCGAUAGCGUAGGCAGCUCGCUAAACUAUAACUGACGCUCAGGCACGAAAGCGUGGGGAGCAAACAGGAUUAGAUACCCUGGUAGUCCACGCCGUAAACGAUGAUCACUCGCUGUUGGCGAUACACAGUCAGCGGCAAAGGGAAACCAUUAAGUGAUCCACCUGGGGAGUACGGUCGCAAGAUUGAAACUCAAAGGAAUUGACGGGGGCCCGCACAAGCGGAGGAGCAUGUGGUUUAAUUCGAUGAUACGCGAGGAACCUUACCUGGGCUUAAAUGUUGGACGACUGUCCCCGAAAGGGGACUUUCCUUCGGGACGUCUAGCAAGGUGCUGCAUGGUU
This 425-nucleotide ribosomal RNA is filed under the name uncultured Cytophagales bacterium. RNAcentral's name for it is "bacterial SSU rRNA". It matches the Rfam family "Bacterial small subunit ribosomal RNA", at positions 622 to 1050 of the family's 1533-position model. Lineage: Bacteria; Pseudomonadati; Bacteroidota; Sphingobacteriia; Sphingobacteriales. The record is from RNAcentral.